RNAcentral lists this ribosomal RNA (2931 nucleotides) under Escherichia coli. RNAcentral's name for it is "23S ribosomal RNA". It matches the Rfam family "Bacterial large subunit ribosomal RNA". The record is from RNAcentral. Lineage: Bacteria; Pseudomonadati; Pseudomonadota; Gammaproteobacteria; Enterobacterales; Enterobacteriaceae.
GGGUUGUGAGGUUAAGCGACUAAGCGUACACGGUGGAUGCCCUGGCAGUCAGAGGCGAUGAAGGACGUGCUAAUCUGCGAUAAGCGUCGGUAAGGUGAUAUGAACCGUUAUAACCGGCGAUUUCCGAAUGGGGAAACCCAGUGUGAUUCGUCACACUAUCAUUAACUGAAUCCAUAGGUUAAUGAGGCGAACCGGGGGAACUGAAACAUCUAAGUACCCCGAGGAAAAGAAAUCAACCGAGAUUCCCCCAGUAGCGGCGAGCGAACGGGGAGCAGCCCAGAGCCUGAAUCAGUGUGUGUGUUAGUGGAAGCGUCUGGAAAGGCGCGCGAUACAGGGUGACAGCCCCGUACACAAAAAUGCACAUGCUGUGAGCUCGAUGAGUAGGGCGGGACACGUGGUAUCCUGUCUGAAUAUGGGGGGACCAUCCUCCAAGGCUAAAUACUCCUGACUGACCGAUAGUGAACCAGUACCGUGAGGGAAAGGCGAAAAGAACCCCGGCGAGGGGAGUGAAAAAGAACCUGAAACCGUGUACGUACAAGCAGUGGGAGCACGCUUAGGCGUGUGACUGCGUACCUUUUGUAUAAUGGGUCAGCGACUUAUAUUCUGUAGCAAGGUUAACCGAAUAGGGGAGCCGAAGGGAAACCGAGUCUUAACUGGGCGUUAAGUUGCAGGGUAUAGACCCGAAACCCGGUGAUCUAGCCAUGGGCAGGUUGAAGGUUGGGUAACACUAACUGGAGGACCGAACCGACUAAUGUUGAAAAAUUAGCGGAUGACUUGUGGCUGGGGGUGAAAGGCCAAUCAAACCGGGAGAUAGCUGGUUCUCCCCGAAAGCUAUUUAGGUAGCGCCUCGUGAAUUCAUCUCCGGGGGUAGAGCACUGUUUCGGCAAGGGGGUCAUCCCGACUUACCAACCCGAUGCAAACUGCGAAUACCGGAGAAUGUUAUCACGGGAGACACACGGCGGGUGCUAACGUCCGUCGUGAAGAGGGAAACAACCCAGACCGCCAGCUAAGGUCCCAAAGUCAUGGUUAAGUGGGAAACGAUGUGGGAAGGCCCAGACAGCCAGGAUGUUGGCUUAGAAGCAGCCAUCAUUUAAAGAAAGCGUAAUAGCUCACUGGUCGAGUCGGCCUGCGCGGAAGAUGUAACGGGGCUAAACCAUGCACCGAAGCUGCGGCAGCGACGCUUAUGCGUUGUUGGGUAGGGGAGCGUUCUGUAAGCCUGUGAAGGUGUACUGUGAGGUAUGCUGGAGGUAUCAGAAGUGCGAAUGCUGACAUAAGUAACGAUAAAGCGGGUGAAAAGCCCGCUCGCCGGAAGACCAAGGGUUCCUGUCCAACGUUAAUCGGGGCAGGGUGAGUCGACCCCUAAGGCGAGGCCGAAAGGCGUAGUCGAUGGGAAACAGGUUAAUAUUCCUGUACUUGGUGUUACUGCGAAGGGGGGACGGAGAAGGCUAUGUUGGCCGGGCGACGGUUGUCCCGGUUUAAGCGUGUAGGCUGGUUUUCCAGGCAAAUCCGGAAAAUCAAGGCUGAGGCGUGAUGACGAGGCACUACGGUGCUGAAGCAACAAAUGCCCUGCUUCCAGGAAAAGCCUCUAAGCAUCAGGUAACAUCAAAUCGUACCCCAAACCGACACAGGUGGUCAGGUAGAGAAUACCAAGGCGCUUGAGAGAACUCGGGUGAAGGAACUAGGCAAAAUGGUGCCGUAACUUCGGGAGAAGGCACGCUGAUAUGUAGGUGAAGCGACUUGCUCGUGGAGCUGAAAUCAGUCGAAGAUACCAGCUGGCUGCAACUGUUUAUUAAAAACACAGCACUGUGCAAACACGAAAGUGGACGUAUACGGUGUGACGCCUGCCCGGUGCCGGAAGGUUAAUUGAUGGGGUCAGCGCAAGCGAAGCUCUUGAUCGAAGCCCCGGUAAACGGCGGCCGUAACUAUAACGGUCCUAAGGUAGCGAAAUUCCUUGUCGGGUAAGUUCCGACCUGCACGAAUGGCGUAAUGAUGGCCAGGCUGUCUCCACCCGAGACUCAGUGAAAUUGAACUCGCUGUGAAGAUGCAGUGUACCCGCGGCAAGACGGAAAGACCCCGUGAACCUUUACUAUAGCUUGACACUGAACAUUGAGCCUUGAUGUGUAGGAUAGGUGGGAGGCUUUGAAGUGUGGACGCCAGUCUGCAUGGAGCCGACCUUGAAAUACCACCCUUUAAUGUUUGAUGUUCUAACGUGGACCCGUAAUCCGGGUUGCGGACAGUGUCUGGUGGGUAGUUUGACUGGGGCGGUCUCCUCCUAAAGAGUAACGGAGGAGCACGAAGGUUGGCUAAUCCUGGUCGGACAUCAGGAGGUUAGUGCAAUGGCAUAAGCCAGCUUGACUGCGAGCGUGACGGCGCGAGCAGGUGCGAAAGCAGGUCAUAGUGAUCCGGUGGUUCUGAAUGGAAGGGCCAUCGCUCAACGGAUAAAAGGUACUCCGGGGAUAACAGGCUGAUACCGCCCAAGAGUUCAUAUCGACGGCGGUGUUUGGCACCUCGAUGUCGGCUCAUCACAUCCUGGGGCUGAAGUAGGUCCCAAGGGUAUGGCUGUUCGCCAUUUAAAGUGGUACGCGAGCUGGGUUUAGAACGUCGUGAGACAGUUCGGUCCCUAUCUGCCGUGGGCGCUGGAGAACUGAGGGGGGCUGCUCCUAGUACGAGAGGACCGGAGUGGACGCAUCACUGGUGUUCGGGUUGUCAUGCCAAUGGCACUGCCCGGUAGCUAAAUGCGGAAGAGAUAAGUGCUGAAAGCAUCUAAGCACGAAACUUGCCCCGAGAUGAGUUCUCCCUGACUCCUUGAGAGUCCUGAAGGAACGUUGAAGACGACGACGUUGAUAGGCCGGGUGUGUAAGCGCAGCGAUGCGUUGAGCUAACCGGUACUAAUGAACCGUGAGGCUUAACCUUACAACGCCGAAGGUGUUU